This 71-nucleotide transfer RNA is filed under the name Nesophrosyne montium. RNAcentral's name for it is "tRNA-Asp". The record is from RNAcentral. Lineage: Eukaryota; Metazoa; Arthropoda; Insecta; Hemiptera; Cicadellidae.
GAAAAUCUAGUUUAAUUUUAAACAUUAGUUUGUCAAACUAAAGUUACUCAGGAGUUUUAGGGUGAUUUUUA